Molecule: ribosomal RNA, 245 nt
Filed under: uncultured bacterium
Lineage: Bacteria
Description: partial 16S ribosomal RNA
Rfam family: Bacterial small subunit ribosomal RNA
Source: RNAcentral
CACGCAGUAAACGAUGCAGACUAGGCGUGGGAGGACUUGACCCCUUCCGUGCCGGAGCUAACGCACUAAGUCUGCCGCCUGGGGAGUACGGCCGCAAGGCUAAAACUCAAAGGAAUUGACGGGGGCCCGCACAAGCGGCGGAGCGUGUUCUUUAAUUCGUCGCAACGCGAAGAACCUUACCAGGGUUUGACAUAUCGCUGCAUGCCCUAGAGAUAGGGAGGCCUACGAGGGUGCGAUACAGGUGC